GGGCCCGCACAAGCGGCGGAGCAUGCGGAUUAAUUCGAUGCAACGCGAAGAACCUUACCAAGGCUUGACAUAUAGAGGAAAAGUGCAGAAAUGCACUCCCCGCAAGGUCUCUAUACAGGUGGUGCAUGGUUGUCGUCAGCUCGUGUCGUGAGAUGUUGGGUUAAGUCCCGCAACGAGCGCAACCCUCGUCCUAUGUUGCCAGCACGUAAUGGUGGGAACUCAUGGGAUACUGCCGGGGUCAACUCGGAGGAAGGUGGGGAUGACGUCAAAUCAUCAUGCCCCUUAUGUCUUGGGCUUCACGCAUGCUACAAUGGCCGGUACAGAGGGCUGCAAUACCGCAAGGUGGAGCGAAUCCCAAAAAGCCGGUCAGCAUACUGCGGUGAAUACGUUCCCGGGCCUUGUACACACCGCCCG
This 414-nucleotide ribosomal RNA is filed under the name uncultured bacterium. RNAcentral describes it as "bacterial SSU rRNA". It matches the Rfam family "Bacterial small subunit ribosomal RNA", at positions 917 to 1396 of the family's 1533-position model. The record is from RNAcentral.